GGUGGGCAUAGCGCAUUAGGUAGAGCGUUGGUUUGUGGUACCAAAGGUAAUGGGUUCGAAUCCCAUUGUCCACC
Molecule: transfer RNA, 74 nt
Filed under: Tsukubamonas globosa
Lineage: Eukaryota; Tsukubea; Tsukubamonadida; Tsukubamonadidae
Description: tRNA-His
Rfam family: tRNA
About the family: Transfer RNA (tRNA) molecules are approximately 80 nucleotides in length.
Source: RNAcentral